CAACAGCCUCCUCCAAUGCAGUGUGAUUGUGAUUCAUAGCACAAAGCUGGAGAGCGGGGGGCAGGGGAACAGAAAACCUGCCAGGUCUCAUCGCAUUGAACUUGAUAACAGACAGCACAGCACCUUGAAAACGAAUCAUCUGCUAGUUCAGUCUUUUCUACAAACGAUCUCACUCCCUCCCAGGGCGUGUAAUUAAUUUACUGAGUUAAAAAAAAAAAAAAG
This is a long non-coding RNA of Oryctolagus cuniculus (rabbit), 222 nucleotides long. It matches the Rfam family "Prostate androgen-regulated transcript 1 conserved region 1". Lineage: Eukaryota; Metazoa; Chordata; Mammalia; Lagomorpha; Leporidae. The record is from Rfam.